This is a non-coding RNA of Sturnus vulgaris (Common starling), 371 nucleotides long. The record is from RefSeq and is a predicted model, not a curated record. NCBI's taxonomy places the organism in Eukaryota, Metazoa, Chordata, Aves, Passeriformes, Sturnidae.
AUAAAAGGACACCCUACACCCAGCGUUCCAUCAAGUCUUCCAGUGCCUAUUACCUUCAACCUGCAAAAGUUUCACAUACUGAGGAGAGGACAUGAAUCAAGAACUUGACCACAACAGUUACUUUUCCUGCAUCAGGGUAAGCUGGUGCCACUGGACAGAAACAGCUGACAUGAAACCCACAGAAGAAGGCUCUCUUCUUUAAAGAUACUAUUUGGCAUGCAAAGUGCCCUGGCAUAAGGCGCAGGAGAAGAAACAAUUGACUAAACAGAAUUAUCUCAGGAGGAGAGCAGCCUUCACGGUCAGCACAGACUUAACUGUGGCCUUGGUGUAACUUGGAAGCUCUCACUGUUACCUGCCAGGCAAGAAAGAGC